CGGGAAUUCGAUUAGAGUUUGAUCAUGGGUCAGAACGAACGCUUUCGGUAUGCUUAACACAUGCAAGUCGAACGGAUUUAUUUAGAGCUUGCUUUAAAUAAAUUAGUGCCAGCCGGGUGAGUAACACGUGGGAAUCUGCCCAUCAGUACGGAAUAACAUUUAGAAAUAAUUGCUAAUACCGUAUAUUCUCUUUGGAGGAAAGAUUUAUCGGUGAUGGAUGAGCCCGCGCCAGAUUAGGUAGUUGGUAGGGUAAUGGCCUACCAAGCCAAUGAUCUGUAGGUGGUUUGAGAGAAUGAUCAGCCACACUGGGACUGAGACACGGCCCAGACUCCUACGGGAGGCACCAGUGGGGAAUAUUGGACAAUGGGCGAAAGCCUGAUCCAGCAAUACCGAGUGGGUGAUGAAGGCCUUAGGGUUGUAAAGCCCUUUUCAGCAGGGAAGAUAAUGACGGUCCCUGCCCAAGAAAGCCCAAUCACUAGUGAAUUCGCGGCCGGCUG
This 497-nucleotide ribosomal RNA is filed under the name uncultured Alphaproteobacteria bacterium. RNAcentral describes it as "bacterial SSU rRNA". It matches the Rfam family "Bacterial small subunit ribosomal RNA", at positions 1 to 520 of the family's 1533-position model. Lineage: Bacteria; Pseudomonadati; Pseudomonadota; Alphaproteobacteria. The record is from RNAcentral.